ACCUCGAGAACUGGCACGACAUUUUUACAUUUGAGCUGGACUUAGUGUUAGAGAGAGAGAGAGAGCAAAAAUCCAAAAACUCUCACACUCCCGCCUAAUGCUCCCGCUCAGAACCUUUUUGAGAGAGAAAUCGAUUCAGAAAUGCGUCUGACAAAGAACGAAAAGGCAUUAAUCGGUGGAGGGCGACAAACACAGUUAAAGGCUUAGCCACAAUUCUACUACAUAGGAGAAAAUCCGUAUCAAGCUGGAGAAAUCCCCCCAACUGCCCUUAUUGACGAUCCAAAAGGGAUUCCUUUGUAGCAAACCAUCUUCAAAGAUACAGCUUCUCCCUUCACCUACAUCUACUGUGGGACCUCUUGCGUCACCCCCAUUAGGUUGCCAAUCUAGUGACUCUUCAAGGAGAAAACCAGCCAUUUGUAUAUGUUUCAAUUACUAAAGCAGACUUUUGGCAGAUCUAUUAGUACAACUAGAAACACUGUUGAUGGUCAGCAUUGCUCUCUUUGCAGGAGAUUGAAUACGAAAUUCAGAUAUUAAGAAUUCUAUUUUUCUAUAGUGCGGUCCUGAACUUUUUCUCGGUUUAUUAAGCACAUCCAUUUUCUA
Molecule: non-coding RNA, 600 nt
Organism: Nelumbo nucifera (sacred lotus)
Lineage: Eukaryota; Viridiplantae; Streptophyta; Magnoliopsida; Proteales; Nelumbonaceae
Source: RefSeq, a predicted model, not a curated record